AAUGGUCUGUAAAAAGGGGGAAGGCAGCCAUUGCUUUGCACCACUCAGGAAAAAACAAUUAUCAGGCUUUUAUGGUGACUUGUGUCAGGUAGUCAUGACGUUACCAGAGAGACCAGCAAAGAAUCCACGAAUCUAUCAGUGUGAUGUUUGCCAGAAAACUUUCACUGAAAAAGCUAAUAUGAAAAGACACAAAGCCAUUCACAGCAAUGAUAGACCAGUUUUUUUCUGUGACUUGUGUCCUAGGACGUUUUCAUGGAAGGAUAAUCUUGAGAGGCACAAGAGAUACAAUCAUUCCUGUGAAUAAUAAAAAAAUUUUAUGUAUUAUAUGAAACUGCAGUACAUUUGUAAGCGACAAGUGAUCAAGAUGCUCUGCACCAACUUGGUAAAAUAAAGACUUAUCAAUUCACAUUAUUAAACUAUGUAUUGAGUGAUAAAAGUAGUUUUACGCUGCUGUUCUCCUUUCUUAUUUCUGAUAGCGAUGGUCUGAAACAUUUCUCAAAUCUUAUCAUAAGGUAUUUAUUAUGGGUUUGACCCUUCAUAAACAAAAAAAAAUCUGAGAGUAAUGUUUUAACUGUUGAAUUUCCUAUUGAAUCUACAUUUAGGACCAUGUUUCAAACAAAUAAACUUUAUCAUAAGGAUGUGUUUCAUAAGUGCUUAUAUACUAAAGCAUUAAUUCUACAGUUGAUAAGGGUAACGUGAAACAGUUGAAGAAAACACAGAGAUUGAUUAUUAAAUAUAAAAGUUGUUUUGUCAGUACACUUGUGUUCAGAACAUAUGAAAUAUAAAAAUGUU
This 792-nucleotide unclassified non-coding RNA is filed under the name Limulus polyphemus (Atlantic horseshoe crab). RNAcentral describes it as "histone-lysine N-methyltransferase PRDM9-like, transcript variant X1". The record is from RNAcentral. Lineage: Eukaryota; Metazoa; Arthropoda; Merostomata; Xiphosura; Limulidae.